UUUUUUUUUGCAAAUUGUAUCUAUCUAUAAUAUAUUUUUAUUUUAUAGUUUACAAUUGUUAUUAAGUAACGUCCUGCCAAACCCAUCCCGCCAAACCCGUCCCGUAAAAAAACUAUUUAUUUAUAUUAAUGUUGAUCUUAUUUAUGAUAUGUUUAUAAAUCAUUGUCUAAAUAUUUUUGUCGAUGCGAGACGUUGAACCCACACAGUUUUUGCUAAUUGGUUAAUAUAUGUUCAUUUUUAAAAUUUUGAAUCAUAAAAUAUGACGGAAAAAAUUAAGAUUUUUUUAAACUCUAUAUAUUAUAUAAUGAUGUUAAAAAAUUGUAAUAUAUCAAAGUUAUUAUAAGUUUAAAUAUUAAUAAUGUUUUAUAAAUUUUAAAUAUAUAAAUAAUAAU
This 392-nucleotide small RNA is filed under the name Arabidopsis thaliana (thale cress). RNAcentral describes it as "ATSL081340". Lineage: Eukaryota; Viridiplantae; Streptophyta; Magnoliopsida; Brassicales; Brassicaceae. The record is from RNAcentral.